This 520-nucleotide ribosomal RNA is filed under the name Orthomorphoides setosus. RNAcentral describes it as "partial 16S ribosomal RNA". It matches the Rfam family "Archaeal large subunit ribosomal RNA", at positions 1887 to 2657 of the family's 2987-position model. The record is from RNAcentral. Lineage: Eukaryota; Metazoa; Arthropoda; Diplopoda; Polydesmida; Paradoxosomatidae.
CUUGACUGUUUUAGCAAAGACAUUGUCUUGUGUAAAGUUAUAAGAUAAUUUCUGCCCACUGCUGUAUGGUGAAGGGCUGCAGUAUUAUGACUGUAUAAAGGUAGCAUAAUCAUUAGCUUCUUAAUUAGGGGCUGGUAUGAAGGGGAAACAGGGAGGUGAUGUGUUCUUCAAGGGGAUUGAAUUUAAUGGUUCUGUGAAAAAGCAGGAGUAUGUCUAAGGGACAAGAAGACCCUAUUAAGUUUAAUUUUUGAUUAUAAAAAGGAUAAAGGAAAUAAAUUAAUUAUUAAUUUGAUUUAUAUUUAGAGAUUUGGCUGGGGCGGUAGAUUGAGUAAAACAAUAUAAAGAUUUAACUUUUAUUAGAAAGAUGAAAUAAAAGAUCUGAUUAGGUCAAUUAAAAGAAAAAUUACUUUAGGGAUAACAGCGUUAUCAUUCUUUAGAGUUCGAAUCAACAGAGUGGUUUGCGACCUCGAUGCGGGCUUCGCUUAAACCAAAACACAGUAUUUGGUUCAACCUCGUCUGA